Molecule: ribosomal RNA, 237 nt
Filed under: uncultured bacterium
Lineage: Bacteria
Description: partial 16S ribosomal RNA
Rfam family: Bacterial small subunit ribosomal RNA
Source: RNAcentral
CGGCGAACGGGUGAGUAACACGUGGGUGACCUGCCCUCCACUUCGGGAUAAGCCUGGGAAACUGGGUCUAAUACCGGAUAUGACUUCUGGGUGCAUGCCUGGUUGUGGAAAGUUUUUUCGGUGGGGGAUGGGCCCGCGGUCUAUCAGCUUGUUGGUGGGGUGAUGGCCUACCAAGGCGACGACGGAUAGCCGGCCUGAGAGGGUGAUCGGCCACACUGGGACUGAGACACGGCCCAG